AGGGCGAUAGAUAUGGACCUGGUUUGGGUACGUGGGAGCAUUCCGACACUCCUCUUUUGUCAAAUUGGAAAGUUGCACGAAGACAUUAUAUCUGUGUGCUAAUAUUACCUUAUUGAAAUGGAGAAAUAAAAUUGGCAUUACAACAUGUACUGAGUCAGCUGUUUCCGUUACUAGAAAUUGCUUGCCUCUGUAACACGUGUUGUCUAAUGUUCUUAUGUUGUUUGCUAUCAAAUGUGGGCUUGCUCGGGCUUUCAAGGAUGGGAUUUCAUAGUUUGACAUUGUAAAUCGAACAUGCACUAGAAGAAAGAAAGUCACCAACUUCCACUAUACGUGUUUAUGUCUGAAAGGACAAAUGUAGAUGAAAAGCUGAAAAAGAAAAUGACCCAAAGAUAUCUAAAAGGACAUGUGGUAGCAUCAGGGACGGGGCGAGUCUUUAUUGAGUUAUGCUAUACGUAAAAAGUUGAUUUAUAAAGUUUGUUGGCAAAGUAAUAUCUGCACCAAUCAAACACAGAUUUAAAAUCAUUGGAAAUCAAUGUCUGAAUCGUGUCAACACUUUUUUUCAACCAAAUUUGUAAACACUUUAUUUCUUCAUUUGUUUAUGCAAAAUCCUCUCAAAACAUCAAUAACAACUCUCACAAGAGAAAUAUUGAUGUUUACUCCCUUUCAAGAACUGAAAACACUAAGUAUUUCCAAAGAGAAUAACCAAUAAGAACUACAUGGAGAAGACGAAACAAAAUAAGCUUUUCGAGUUUUUCAGAAUGAAACCCUAAAGUCACAAGCCUCGACUUUAUAUGAGACAGAGCUAAUUAUAUCAUCCAACAGUACAAGACCAGCCAUGUCAGUAAUCCAACAAAAGUGCAUUUUCAAUUAAAAGGCGAGUUUAACAAAAACAUUUUUAUCAUAAUUCUAGAUUCUUCAAAAACAUUUUUACCAUAAUUCUGGAUUCUUCAGCUUAUUGAAUCAUCAAUUUGGGCCAUAGUUAUAGUAGAACCGAUAGCAUACAGCCCGCAUAUUUGGACUUUACAAAAUUUAGCAACCCAAUUUUUACGAUCUUCACCUUUGUUACAAUUUGUGACUGUACUAUAAUGGAUUCCAACUUAAUCAACACAACUUCACGUGCUCUUACUACUUGUUCACAAAGAAAAGAAAAAUUAGCAAAUUUCAAGUUUCAAUUGUCUCAAAGAAUCAAUGAACUAACUAAGUGAUAUUACCUCUGUACCUACAUCAGCAAGAUUUAUCUUAGUCGAAAGUUUGGUCAGCUUAAUGACACCUCUUUUAAUUAUAUCUCUAAUAAAAUGAAAUUUAACAUCUAUAUUUUUAAACCUAUCGUUAAAAACUGAAUUUUUACUCAAGAAAAUGACACUUUGAUUAUCUAGAACAUAGCAUUUACCUGAUUUUCCAUGGGUCCUAAUUCAUUUAAUAAGCCUUUCAACCAUGAGCAUUCGUUUGCUGCCUUAGUAGCAACAAUAUAUUCAGCUUCAUUUGAUGAUGAAAUAACCAAUUUCCGAAGUUGAGAUUUUCAGAUAAUGCAUGUAUUAUCUAUCACAUAAAAAUCUGCAGUUAUAAACUUCCUAUUAACUAAGUUUCCAGCAAAAUCAAAGUCAACAUGGCCAAUCAAUUUAAAGCCAUCUUUAUCAAUUUUAAACAUAAGUCUUAAUUGACAUGUGCCUUUCAAGUAUUUAAUCAAAUUUUUCAUAGCUUUCCAAUGAAGCUCACCCGGGUUAUUCAUGAAUUUGCUUAACACACUUACAACAUAAGCUAUAUCUAGUCUAGAACAUACCAUUUCAUACAUGAUAGAUCCAACAGCGUAGCAUAUGGCAAAUCCAUUAUUCUUUUAAAUUCAUCUUCAAUUUUAGGUGAUUGAUCAACAGAUAAUUUCACACAACUAAACAAAGGUAAACUAAC
This 1905-nucleotide long non-coding RNA is filed under the name Olea europaea subsp. europaea. Lineage: Eukaryota; Viridiplantae; Streptophyta; Magnoliopsida; Lamiales; Oleaceae. The record is from RNAcentral.